RNAcentral lists this microRNA precursor (202 nucleotides) under Oryza sativa Japonica Group (Japanese rice). RNAcentral's name for it is "MIR812 microRNA precursor family". It matches the Rfam family "MIR812 microRNA precursor family". Lineage: Eukaryota; Viridiplantae; Streptophyta; Magnoliopsida; Poales; Poaceae. The record is from Rfam by way of RNAcentral.
UAUAAGAGAUUUUGAGUUGUUACUUAUAACGUUUGACCACUCGUCUUAUUCAAAAAAUUUUAAGAUUAUUAUUUAUUUUAUUUGUGACUUACUUUAUUAUUUACAGUAUUUUAAGCACAACUUUUUAUUUUUUAUAUUUGCAAAAAAAAAUUGAAUAAGACGAGUGGUCAAACGUUGCAAACAGAAACUCAAAAUACUCAAA